Gossypium arboreum is the source of this 145-nucleotide non-coding RNA. The record is from Rfam. Lineage: Eukaryota; Viridiplantae; Streptophyta; Magnoliopsida; Malvales; Malvaceae.
UGUUAAAAAUUCCGUCCAGUUGUACAGUUAAAAACUGGCAUGGUUGAUAGAAUAAUUAGACAGUAACACGUAGUAUGCCACAUGUAUCUUAUGCUGACGUAUAGAGACUAAUUCUUAAUAGCAAAAAAGACUGAGAUUUUUAAUA